CUUGGCAAGAAGCAAUCCUACUAAAAACUGAGGAAGAUCAUCAAGUACCAUCCAUGGAAAAGAAUAUAAAAAAGAGAAAGAUGAGAAGAUAUUCAGUAUCAUCACCUAUUAGAGUUCUUCACCGUGACUCCUGAAGAAAUGAAAGUCUGUGUUGACCUUCUAGGAACACGUUUUGGUGAUCUACCGCAGCCUACUCAUUGGGGUAGCCGUCCAGAUGAGGCACCGCGGAGAGCAGAAUCAGAGGGAAGGUAACACUAGACGCCGAACAGGAAGCCGGCACUACACACUCCUGCCUUCCCUGUUCGGCACCGCCACCUCACAGAGAGCGCUGUGCCACGCCCGAGGUCUCCGGGAGCCAGAGAAUCAAGGAUGAGAUCGGCCAUGCAUCCUGCAAACCUCAGCACAGCGGUCCGGACUGGGAAGACACAGAGCGGGGCUUCAGACCAGGCCCCGCCCAGAGCCCUAUCAGUGGCGCUCGCGUGACUUCCCCUGUGGCACUGCCAACACCCGGAGAAGCACCACACGGACAGCCGAGGCCAGCUGUGCAGUGGGUGCUGUUCAAGAGAAAGGACAACACGGAGGCCUGACAAUGAUAAAGAUGAGACAACCUCUUCUCUCGCUUCUUCAUCCAAGCCGUCUCCAAAGUGCUUGCUAUAGUUCAACCAGAGAAGAGGCUUCCAAAGCC
RNAcentral lists this long non-coding RNA (685 nucleotides) under Fukomys damarensis (Damara mole-rat). RNAcentral's name for it is "lncRNA (ENSFDAG00000024406.1)". The record is from RNAcentral. Lineage: Eukaryota; Metazoa; Chordata; Mammalia; Rodentia; Bathyergidae.